GGAAUUUUGGACAAUGGGCGAAAGCCUGAUCCAGCCAUUCCGCGUGAGUGAAGAAGGCCUUCGGGUUGUAAAGCUCUUUCGCAAGGGAAGAACACUUAGUCUCUAACAUAGACUGAGGUUGACGGUACCCUGAUAAGAAGCACCGGCUAACUACGUGCCAGCAGCCGCGGUAAUACGUAGGGUGCGAGCGUUAAUCGGAAUUACUGGGCGUAAAGCGUGCGCAGGCUGUUUUGUAAGUCAGAUGUGAAAUCCCCGAGCUCAACUUGGGAACUGCGUUUGAAACUACAAGACUAGAAUAUGUCAGAGGGGGGUAGAAUUCCACGUGUAGCAGUGAAAUGCGUAGAGAUGUGGAGGAAUACCAAUGGCGAAGGCAGCCCCCUGGGAUAAUAUUGACGCUCAUGCACGAAAGCGUGGGGAGCAA
This 421-nucleotide ribosomal RNA is filed under the name uncultured bacterium. RNAcentral's name for it is "bacterial SSU rRNA". It matches the Rfam family "Bacterial small subunit ribosomal RNA", at positions 358 to 771 of the family's 1533-position model. The record is from RNAcentral.